RNAcentral lists this ribosomal RNA (2237 nucleotides) under Escherichia coli. RNAcentral describes it as "partial 23S ribosomal RNA". It matches the Rfam family "Bacterial large subunit ribosomal RNA", at positions 419 to 2641 of the family's 2925-position model. Lineage: Bacteria; Pseudomonadati; Pseudomonadota; Gammaproteobacteria; Enterobacterales; Enterobacteriaceae. The record is from RNAcentral.
GGGACACGUGGUAUCCUGUCUGAAUAUGGGGGGACCAUCCUCCAAGGCUAAAUACUCCUGACUGACCGAUAGUGAACCAGUACCGUGAGGGAAAGGCGAAAAGAACCCCGGCGAGGGGAGUGAAAAAGAACCUGAAACCGUGUACGUACAAGCAGUGGGAGCACGCUUAGGCGUGUGACUGCGUACCUUUUGUAUAAUGGGUCAGCGACUUAUAUUCUGUAGCAAGGUUAACCGAAUAGGGGAGCCGAAGGGAAACCGAGUCUUAACUGGGCGUUAAGUUGCAGGGUAUAGACCCGAAACCCGGUGAUCUAGCCAUGGGCAGGUUGAAGGUUGGGUAACACUAACUGGAGGACCGAACCGACUAAUGUUGAAAAAUUAGCGGAUGACUUGUGGCUGGGGGUGAAAGGCCAAUCAAACCGGGAGAUAGCUGGUUCUCCCCGAAAGCUAUUUAGGUAGCGCCUCGUGAAUUCAUCUCCGGGGGUAGAGCACUGUUUCGGCAAGGGGGUCAUCCCGACUUACCAACCCGAUGCAAACUGCGAAUACCGGAGAAUGUUAUCACGGGAGACACACGGCGGGUGCUAACGUCCGUCGUGAAGAGGGAAACAACCCAGACCGCCAGCUAAGGUCCCAAAGUCAUGGUUAAGUGGGAAACGAUGUGGGAAGGCCCAGACAGCCAGGAUGUUGGCUUAGAAGCAGCCAUCAUUUAAAGAAAGCGUAAUAGCUCACUGGUCGAGUCGGCCUGCGCGGAAGAUGUAACGGGGCUAAACCAUGCACCGAAGCUGCGGCAGCGACGCUUAUGCGUUGUUGGGUAGGGGAGCGUUCUGUAAGCCUGUGAAGGUGUGCUGUGAGGCAUGCUGGAGGUAUCAGAAGUGCGAAUGCUGACAUAAGUAACGAUAAAGCGGGUGAAAAGCCCGCUCGCCGGAAGACCAAGGGUUCCUGUCCAACGUUAAUCGGGGCAGGGUGAGUCGACCCCUAAGGCGAGGCCGAAAGGCGUAGUCGAUGGGAAACAGGUUAAUAUUCCUGUACUUGGUGUUACUGCGAAGGGGGGACGGAGAAGGCUAUGUUGGCCGGGCGACGGUUGUCCCGGUUUAAGCGUGUAGGCUGGUUUUCCAGGCAAAUCCGGAAAAUCAAGGCUGAGGCGUGAUGACGAGGCACUACGGUGCUGAAGCAACAAAUGCCCUGCUUCCAGGAAAAGCCUCUAAGCAUCAGGUAACAUCAAAUCGUACCCCAAACCGACACAGGUGGUCAGGUAGAGAAUACCAAGGCGCUUGAGAGAACUCGGGUGAAGGAACUAGGCAAAAUGGUGCCGUAACUUCGGGAGAAGGCACGCUGAUAUGUAGGUGAAGCGACUUGCUCGUGGAGCUGAAAUCAGUCGAAGAUACCAGCUGGCUGCAACUGUUUAUUAAAAACACAGCACUGUGCAAACACGAAAGUGGACGUAUACGGUGUGACGCCUGCCCGGUGCCGGAAGGUUAAUUGAUGGGGUCAGCGCAAGCGAAGCUCUUGAUCGAAGCCCCGGUAAACGGCGGCCGUAACUAUAACGGUCCUAAGGUAGCGAAAUUCCUUGUCGGGUAAGUUCCGACCUGCACGAAUGGCGUAAUGAUGGCCAGGCUGUCUCCACCCGAGACUCAGUGAAAUUGAACUCGCUGUGAAGAUGCAGUGUACCCGCGGCAAGACGGAAAGACCCCGUGAACCUUUACUAUAGCUUGACACUGAACAUUGAGCCUUGAUGUGUAGGAUAGGUGGGAGGCUUAGAAGUGUGGACGCCAGUCUGCAUGGAGCCGACCUUGAAAUACCACCCUUUAAUGUUUGAUGUUCUAACGUUGACCCGUAAUCCGGGUUGCGGACAGUGUCUGGUGGGUAGUUUGACUGGGGCGGUCUCCUCCUAAAGAGUAACGGAGGAGCACGAAGGUUGGCUAAUCCUGGUCGGACAUCAGGAGGUUAGUGCAAUGGCAUAAGCCAGCUUGACUGCGAGCGUGACGGCGCGAGCAGGUGCGAAAGCAGGUCAUAGUGAUCCGGUGGUUCUGAAUGGAAGGGCCAUCGCUCAACGGAUAAAAGGUACUCCGGGGAUAACAGGCUGAUACCGCCCAAGAGUUCAUAUCGACGGCGGUGUUUGGCACCUCGAUGUCGGCUCAUCACAUCCUGGGGCUGAAGUAGGUCCCAAGGGUAUGGCUGUUCGCCAUUUAAAGUGGUACGCGAGCUGGGUUUAGAACGUCGUGAGACAGUUCGGUCCCUAU